This 439-nucleotide ribosomal RNA is filed under the name Enteroscipio rubneri. Its description in RNAcentral is "bacterial SSU rRNA". It matches the Rfam family "Bacterial small subunit ribosomal RNA", at positions 338 to 795 of the family's 1533-position model. Lineage: Bacteria; Bacillati; Actinomycetota; Coriobacteriia; Eggerthellales; Eggerthellaceae. The record is from RNAcentral.
CCUACGGGAGGCAGCGGUGGGGAAUAUUGCGCAAUGGGGGAAACCCUGACGCAGCAACGCCGCGUGCGGGAUGAAGGCUUUCGGGUUGUAAACCGCUUUCAGCAGGGAAGAUAAUGACGGUACCUGCAGAAGAAGCCCCGGCUAACUACGUGCCAGCAGCCGCGGUAAUACGUAGGGGGCAAGCGUUAUCCGGAUUCAUUGGGCGUAAAGCGCGCGCAGGCGGGCCGCUAAGCGGGACCUCUAAUCUUGGGGCUCAACCUCAAGCCGGGUCCCGAACUGGCAGCCUCGAGUGCGGUAGGGGUAAGCGGAAUUCCCGGUGUAGCGGUGGAAUGCGCAGAUAUCGGGAAGAACACCGAUGGCGAAGGCAGCUUACUGGGCCGACACUGACGCUGAGGCGCGAAAGCUAGGGGAGCGAACAGGAUUAGAUACCCUGGUAGUC